AUGAAACUUAAAGGAAAUUUCAAAGUCCAGAACCAAACUCGACUUCUAUUUGAACCUUCCUCAUUCUCAAAGAGCUCAAAACACUUACAAAAAGAAAAGCACUUUAACCAAGCUCUCAACUAUGUAGAGGCAGAUUUUAUCAUUAUCGUUGGAAAAUAAUUUCAAUAAAUCAUAAGUGGAAUUAACAUGUAUUUAACACCCAUGACUAUGGAAUCAAAACUAAACACUUCAGCCAGUCACACUGAAAAUCACAGUACAUAUUUAAUAGUUAUUACAGAGUCCAAGACAAUCUCUAUUCAAUUGCAUCCUCAUAAGUUCAAGUCUAAACUAAAAAAAAGAAGAAAUGCACACAAAACUAUACUAAAAUAAAACAAGAACUAGAUUCAAACUGAAUAGAUAGCAAAAACUAGUAUUGAUCAUUGCUUCAACUUGAAUUACAGAAGUUCAUAGUUGCACUUCACAUGAUAAUAGAUCCAAGGCAUACCUAAUAUUGAAGAACAAAGCCAAAAGAAAGUGAGAGAUUAAGAAGCAGCACUAGCAUAGCAGAAUCAAAACCAGCAGAACCAACUCAAACCAAAAGGAAUGUGAAAGCAAUUGAAAACAGCAUCACUUGAACAAUAACCACAGCAACUUCAAAACCAAACCUUAAAUACCCAACUUCAAUCCAUUUUUAACACUAUAUCAAUCAGAAAAUCCUUCAAGAAAUUGAAAGCUUAAGAAAUCACAGAAGGAAUUUAAUGAAACAGUAAUUUUCACUUAAAUUCUAGCCGUCUUUAUUUAUUUUGAAUUUUAUCUCUGAAAGUCUUCCUUGAAAUUCAAGUUAAGGUGCCUUUAUAACUAAGGUAUUAGGGCAGCCUUAAAGGUUCAAUUUUUAACCUUUGUCCCUUUUUAAAUUCUGGUUUUUGCUACUUAAUCCCUUAAUUUUUGACUUUUUCCAAGUAAGUCUGCUUUGCAGAUUCUAGGAAGCUUCCUAAUCUGUUAGACCUAGAUUCCCUAAGUUAAACUACCCAAAUUACCCCUUAGUCACCAUGUUAUUACCCUUCAAACCAAGACCAAAAAAGGGUCAAAUUGACCCAAUUCAGAGCCUAUAAGUCUAUAAUCCCCAUUAAUUUUCCUCUUAGGCUUGUGAAAUUUUAGAAGCACAAUUCAAACCAAAGAGAAGUCCAUAAUUUAAGGACUGGCCAAGUUAGUGAAUUCAAAAAAAGCAGAAGAACGCCAAACAAGAAAAAACCUUUUAAAAGAAUCAUGGACAGAAGAUAAAAUGGUGAUGAACUAAACAACAAAAUCAAUGAAUUGAAACGUACCAUUAAGAUAAAUAUGUAUGACAAGACACACGAACAAAUGAUGGAUGCAGCAAAGAAAAAAUAAAAAUCAAAAAUGAAGGAAAAGAAAGCAUAAAAGACAAAAGAAUGAAAAAAAUACCUAACGAUGACAGCCAAAACUUGAAAUCAUAUCCAAGCCUCUUAUCAAACCCAUGGACUCAAGUGUUGGGAACUCUAGGUUUCGUGCUCAAAUUUAAAAUUUAAGGAGCUUAAGGAAGAUAUUUGUGGAUUUAAUAUGGAGGGGUCGAGGGGAUUUUAGGGUGUUAGUUUGGUAGGGUUUGGAGGUGGUGUCUCCACCAGAGAAAGUGUGGCGGCGCUAGGGUUCCCUAAUUUUGAUCGGAUAUUUGGAGAGUUAUUGGGUGAUUUGAGUGAAGGUGGUUGGAUAUAUGGAAAGAGGUGAGUGAGGAGGUUAUUUGGUGUAAUUUUGGGGGUGUUUGGCCGCCGGGCUGCCGCCGUGGAUGAUUUUCUACGGGCGGCAGACGGUGGCAGACGGCGGCGUUAAUUAGGUCUCUAAGGGGUGUUGAGAUGGAGAGUGACUGGACGGUUGCUGGGGGUGGGGGUGGCUUGGACAUAUGUAUGUUAAAUGGUCUAAAAUUCUCAUCCGUUGGAUUAGAUGAGAUCGAAGAUUGAGAUUAAUUCAUCCUAGGGGUCGUUUUGGCCAUGGGGGAGG
RNAcentral lists this long non-coding RNA (1992 nucleotides) under Nicotiana benthamiana. RNAcentral describes it as "long non-coding RNA (NBEN_LNC034826)". The record is from RNAcentral. Lineage: Eukaryota; Viridiplantae; Streptophyta; Magnoliopsida; Solanales; Solanaceae.